Long non-coding RNA from Trichogramma pretiosum, 294 nucleotides. RefSeq lists it as uncharacterized. The transcript has 3 exons. Lineage: Eukaryota; Metazoa; Arthropoda; Insecta; Hymenoptera; Trichogrammatidae. The record is from RefSeq and is a predicted model, not a curated record.
GGUUGAAAAUUAUAUUAACUCGACCGAAGGUUGUAAGAAGAUCGAAUUUACGCGGUGCUAUUGUGAAAGGGAUAUUUUACAAGUGCUCGCAUAAACCGGAAGGCAUGGAACUAGUGGAUUAUUAUAAUACGUACACUAUUGGUACCGGCGACGCGCAAUCAAAAUUUUCUUACCAUAUUCUCUUGCAUCUUUCCGAUUUAUAUAAUUUCACACUCGAUGCUCAGGAAACCACGAAGUGGAUUCCAGGUGACACAUUGGGUCCCAUAGCGAGAGCUCUAAUAAAUUAUACGGCAG